Molecule: ribosomal RNA, 431 nt
Filed under: uncultured bacterium
Lineage: Bacteria
Description: partial 16S ribosomal RNA
Rfam family: Bacterial small subunit ribosomal RNA
Source: RNAcentral
GACGAACGCUGGCGGCAGGCUUAACACAUGCAAGUCGAGCGCCCCGCCAGGGCAUCGGCCGACGGGUCGGUAACGCGUGGGAUCGUACCCUUAUCUUCUGCCUAGCCCCGGGUAACUGGAAUUAAUACCGAAUGUGCCCUUUUGGGGAAAGAUUUAUCGGAUAAGGAUCGGGCCGCGUUGGAUUGGCUAGUUGGUGGGGUAAAGGCCUACCAAGGCGACGAUCCAUAGCUGGUCUGAGAGGAGGAUAAGCCACAUUGGGACUGAGACACGGACCAAACUCCGACGGGAGGCAGCAGUGGGGAAUAUUAGACACUGAGCGCAAGCCUGAUACAGCCAUGCGGGGUGAGUGAUGAAGGCGUUAGGGUGGUAAAGCUCUUUCACCGGAGAAGAUAAUGACGGUAUCCGGAGAAGAAGCCCCGGCUAACUUCGUG